Molecule: long non-coding RNA, 120 nt
Organism: Pipistrellus kuhlii (Kuhl's pipistrelle)
Lineage: Eukaryota; Metazoa; Chordata; Mammalia; Chiroptera; Vespertilionidae
Exons: 3
Source: RefSeq, a predicted model, not a curated record
ACCCCACUCCACAAAGGGAACACCACCCUGAUCUGGGACAUACUUCAGGACAAACCAGUUGGCCACCAACCAUGCAGCAGGCCGCUAUCCUAUCUAAUAAAAGAGUAAUAUGCAGAUUGA